AUUAGAAGAAGAGGACAUCCAGGGAAGCGUAUAGUAAGGAUAUCACUACCUGUUUAUAGUUUCUUUGACUGUCUACGGUCAGGUUGUGAAUUCAAAGUCGCUCACUCACUGCUGUUGGGGCUCAGACUGUGAGCAUACUUUUGAUAAGGAAGCCUUUCUGGUGUGGGGAAUGUGGCUAAUAAGGCAGGCUUAUGGUGCAGCAUUCUGCAAAAAACUUUGAAAAAGAUUUGAACAUGCAAAACAAAAUAAAAAUAAUACAGGAUAUUAAUG
Non-coding RNA from Pelobates cultripes (western spadefoot toad), 270 nucleotides. Lineage: Eukaryota; Metazoa; Chordata; Amphibia; Anura; Pelobatidae. The record is from the annotation of a GenBank genome assembly.